This 1324-nucleotide long non-coding RNA is filed under the name Sorghum bicolor (sorghum). Its description in RNAcentral is "long non-coding RNA (SBIC_LNC009493)". The record is from RNAcentral. Lineage: Eukaryota; Viridiplantae; Streptophyta; Magnoliopsida; Poales; Poaceae.
GCGCAGCAGGCGUCCGGCGUGCGCGCCACGUACAACUACUACAACCCGGCGCAGAACAACUGGAACCUAGCUGGGACGUACUGCGCCACGUGGGACGCCAGCAAGCCGCUGUCGUGGCGCAGCAAGUACGGCUGGACCGCCUUCUGCGGGCCCGCCGGUCCCACUGGACAGGCCUCAUGCGGGCAGUGUCUCCUGGUAAGCUCAAGCUGAAACCUCUGUCAGUAAGACUGCUAUAGCAAGAGUUGUUACCUGCAUUAAUUAAUCUAGCUAGUUACCGUGAAUUAGUUCACCUUUCGUUCAAAAACUUUUUAAGAUUUCUCGUCACAUCAAAUCUUAUAUGGUAUAUGCCAGGAACGUCCUAGAGCUCGUGCAGGCUGUGCGACCGAACUGGGCUCCUAAAAUUUAUGGGCUCCAAAAUUUACUAAAGUAUUCUAAGUAUAUAUAAUAAUUUUAGGUUUAUUUUAAUUAGUAAAUUAGUCACAGAGACUCAAUAAACGUGGCCUGCUACUUCCUUAGAGAUAAAGCACAUUGAGUCCAUGAUCAUGAGUUAGAAAAGUCUAAGUUCAGAAAUUCUUCUUGACAUAAGUUUGUAACCCUUCGUGAGUUUGUGGCUUCGUCCCUUGGACUUGUUCCUUGUCCUUGGUGUUGUUCUUCACUCAAGAGUCGAGACCUAGUAGCAAUCCUAGACGACUGGACCUAAAUUAGGACACUAAACGGAGAUCAUUGCCUGGUAUAAAUUCCAUGCACAAUUCCUAUUUUAUUUAGUUAAUCUUUUAUACAUUGUCUUUGUAAUAUAUUGAUAUUUGAUAUUAUCUUUUUAGAUUUUGACAAUAGAUUUUAGACCUCCACUUGUUAUUUUGAACUGGGCCUCAUUUGCUCGGGACGCCGCUGGCACAUACAUGGAACUUUAAAUAUAAAUAAAAAACCAAUUAUACAGUUUGUCUGUAAUUUACGAGAUGAUUUUUUAAACCUAAUUAUUUUAUAGUUAGACAAUAAUUAUCAAAAAAACAAACGAAAAAUGCUAUAGUGUCAGGAUCCAAACCAGGCUUUAGUGCCGAUUGUUACUCAUGGAUUAUUGAUGCUUUCCGCACAUGUACCUACAGGUGACGAACUCGGCGACGGGGGCGUCGCUGACGGUGAGGAUCGUGGACCAGUGCAGCAACGGCGGGCUGGACCUGGACUACGACACGGCGUUCAAGCCGCUGGACACCAACGGUGCGGGCCUCAAUGCUGGCCACCUCACCGUCAGCUACCAGUUCGUCAACUGCGGCGACAACUGAUGCUGUCAUGAACAUGAUUCUUCCAAGAAUUAAUUAUAUGUAUG